This 1999-nucleotide long non-coding RNA is filed under the name Rhagoletis pomonella (apple maggot). RNAcentral's name for it is "uncharacterized LOC118747367, transcript variant X1". Lineage: Eukaryota; Metazoa; Arthropoda; Insecta; Diptera; Tephritidae. The record is from RNAcentral.
GAAAGCUAUGAAAACGCAGUAUAAAGUAAAAAAAAACCAAAAGAUAAAUAAUAAAAGAAUUGAAAAAAGUGUUUGUGUGGUCUCGCCCCUUUUUAGUGGUGCAAAAUUUUACAUGAAUUCUAUUUACCAAAAAGUAAUUAAAAAGAGUUAAAUUGGACUUUCCCUCCGGUUAAAAAAUAAAUAAAUACAAAUCUGUUUUCAAUAGUUUAGCCCUGAAAACAAGAAACUCACCAAGAGAAAACAAUUCCAAUAUAGCCAGCCAGUUAACUGAACACUAAAAAAAAAAGCCACCGCCUGCCCAUUUGCGCUUUUGCAGACAACAUCCACCGUUGCAGCGGCCAUAACUUUGUUUCUGCUAUACGUUUUUAUGCGUGUGCGUUUGUCGAUGUCCUUUGGCUCAUUUCUUUGCAUUACUCCCACUUUUAAUGCUUUUCUGCCCUCUCCGUAUACAUAUGUAGUACAUUUGUACAUACAUUUUCCAUGUCCGUACAUACAUGCUUAUGUAUAUUCUGCGAAUUAUAACUCAAUUAUGCAUACUUUGCACUGCACUGCAUAGCAUAUAAUUUUUACGUAGAAAUGCUGUACGUUGGGUAAUGGCUCACUGCACUGCAUAGCAUGCCACAACAAAGUGAAUGUAACGCUGUGCCUUGGGUAACCGCUUCACGUAAAGCUCAUUCAACGAAUUCCUUUUUGACAACUCUCAUGCAAUGCCAAGUACGCAUAACUGUGCCAUUAGACGCUGUAGAAGGUCUUUGUUGUUCAUUUUUGUUUUUGUUGUUUCGAACCACACUAUUCCCGCUUUCUUGUUGGCUUGUCUGCUUCUAUACACAAAGUUUCAGCAGGACUUGAGAAUUGAUAAUUUCUGACGCCGCAAAUCGAGCCGGCAUUUAGAUACCUACAUAUGUAAUGUCAUAUCUUUGGGAAGAAAUUCAAGUAUUUUUGUAAAGACUUUGUCUUCUAAUAUUUUGUUAUUUUUAUUUGGUAGAUAUUGUUAGCAUUUAACUCCGAAAAUUCAUUUAACACAUCCUUUUAGGGAAAGUUUAAAACAAUGUUCGGCUCUUUGAAUGGCGCAAUUUCAUAAAAGCAGAUAAAUAGAUACUAUACAUUUCCUAAUGUUUGAAUAAAAGUACACUUUCUACUGACGUCGAGUGAACGGGUAUGGAUUCCUGUGCUAUUGGUAGCUUUUGAUUGAAGGACAUUUAUUGAUGUGGAUCCUAGACACACCAACAUCGCAAGCAAUAAAAAAGGAUUUCCAAAAUAAACAACUGCAAAGUGAAAUCUUAGGGUCAAGGGAAAUACCGACCUAGCAAUGAGAACAACAACGCUAAAGAAAAUCAAACAAUACGUAAACAAAACAGCGAAUAACAGCAACACAUGACUGCAGCACAAACGAAAUUGCCGACGACGACGCGGAGGACGACGACAUAAAAAGGUCGCCACGGAGUAAACGACGUACACGACGGCAAAUAAAUACAAACAAAAGGAGAAGAAAUUAAAACGAACGUGUGAAAUCAACAAAUCCGCAGCAGAACCCGCAGUACUACCCCACAAGUGUGCUGGCGAACACUCAACACUCUGCAACGGUACAGAGGGAUUAUCUCGUGUCACAAGCGCCAGUGCCACACUACAUAUAAUUUACACAAUAACGUGCGAAUACUUUUACUACAUACAUAUUUAUAUAGUCACUACAAAAGGCAAUAACUUUAUAACUGUAUCACAAAUUAAGUAGAACGAAACGCGCUUAGGAUAAUCGACUGCCUGCCUGCGUGUCCGUGUCCUUGCAACAAACAGUGUUUCUUUGCCGCUGGCCGAUGUUUCGCGUGCCGCCAAUAGUCGCUAGUAGAGUAUAACGGAAUCAAAAAGUCAAGACCAGCCGACCAGUGUAGAACGGCGCGAAGCACUCGUCAACUAACUGUAUCCAAAGCUUUUUCAAAUUUAAAGCCCUCCACGUAUUUUUUCACUUUUAAAGCGUAAAUAAUAUAAAAUCCAAAAAAAAAAC